CUCUCUCUCUCUCUCUCUCUCUCUCUCGUUUCUAUUUCUAUAUAAACCCCCAACAGCCCUUCCACUUCUUCUCACAGCAACAAAUUAGCAAAGCAAUAUAUGUUCCUAUUCAAUGGAACAUGGUCUAUCUAUAUGAAAGCAGUCUUAAUUUUUGGUAUUGCUAGCGAGCUAGCUUGCUACUAAUUAAUCAGUAAAUAGGUGUUUAGUUAUCUAAUUUACUUAAUUAAUUGUAAAAAGGGUAAGAGGAGGUGACAGAAGAGAGUGAGCACACAUGGUAUUUUCUUGCAUGCUUUGAGAUCCUGCUUGAAGCUAUGCGUGCUCACUCUCUAUCUGUCACCCCAACCCCCCGCCCCCAAAAAUAUCCCUCUCUAUUUGUAUUUUCAUUUAUAUAUUAUGCAUAAUGAUUUCAUUUGCUAGUUGUAUUUUGUAUGUAGUAGCUUCAUAAUUGAUUCUCCAUGGUUUUGCCCUUAUUAAAUCGAUCUGCUGUUUCAUUUUAGGCACGGAUUUGUCUGCAGACUUGCACCGGUAUAUGUCUGUGCCCUAAUUCUGCAUUUGGGUGCCGGCAUAUUCUUUUUCGGUGUACUUGUGGGGUUUCUUCAGUUUUUGUAUGUUAUUAAUACAUACAGCAGAGCAUAAUCAUCACUAUAUAAUAUAUGUGGGAGCUAGACACCACAUUAAGUUCACCCUGAUCAGGUACCGUGCUUAUUUUCAGCAAUUUUACACUACCGUAUUUUGAAACUGUUGCGUUCCAACUGUUGAGAAAUUUAGGGUUUAGGCUCAAUUUCAGGGAUUAAGAUUCAGUAUUGAUCUGAUUUUGGGUAUGACUUUUUAUAAAUUUGUGAUUAGUAAUUGUUGGAUAUACGAGAUUAAAUCUCAUCCGUACAUUGUUAUAAAUGUACACGUUUCACAAGAUUUUUAAAUGAUUAGCACAACUUAAAAAUCAAUUAAAGAUCCAUAUUUCAAUUUUCAGGCCUGAUCAGGAGUCACUCGGUGAAGACAGCUGAAUCUUGGCCUUAGAAUCGUGAAAUUAUGAAAGCUGCAACUACGUAAGCAACAAUACAUAUAUAUCUUGAAAGUCACAAUAUUGUCAUUUAUAACAGCUUUCUUCCGUAUCACAAUAGAAGGUCCUGCAUGCUUUUAAUUGCAUGCCCACAAUAAGCGGUAUCAAAAUUCUUUGCUGAUUCAAUUGACGAUAUGCUGGCUGGACCCAAUAUGUAUACAUGUAUGUAGUUUGUUUAAAACCCUUUUCUUGCCAGAAAGAAUUAAUGUAUUAGCCCUCUUGUACCUUUAUUGGAAACACAAUAUAAGUUAUUUGCUAAAUUGGGUAGUUUGUAAUUGUAGUCUUGAUCGAUCAUAUGGUGGCACAAUGGUUUUGAUUGCCACACGGUAAUUUAGUUAAUGUCAACAUCAUAUGAUCAUCAAAUGGUUAUUAUAUAUAUAGAUAUAUAGCAUAUUAUCCCAGCUUGUUCCUUCAAUUAUAUAUGUUUUUUAUUAGUUAUAUUCCUCAUCUUAUGUGGUGGAUCUGAUGCUAAACUAAAUGUAUUGGACUUCUACUAUCAUGCAGAUCAAUUCUCUCUUUUUCAAUUGACUACAAGGCCUUUUAGGAUAAUUCAUGUUCUUAUGAUGAUUAUAUCUGUGAAUUAGAAAUUAACUUAUAUAAGUGAAUCACUUGCUACAGAUUUAGUUAUUCGUUAAUACAUUUUCUGGAUAUAUAUUUGAUUUUAUUUGAAUCUAUAACCUAUCCUUAUUUGGUUCCAUAUUGAAAUUUUACCAGAAAAGGUUUCCAGGCCUUACAACAAACUCAAAACCAGAAGCCACCAUUUCUUGAAAACAAUUUAUACAUACAAUGGCUUCGAUCCCUUUUGAGCAAAGAAGAAGAAGAAGAAAUCUAAGAUGAGCAGAGGACCCUUAUCUCGGUUUUUGGUUUUUAUCUGAAGGGAGGGCGGUGAAGGAAUGUACAAAUUAUACUUAUAUGAAUGAUGCUCAUUCUGACUAUAUGUAAAAGUUCGACAAAGAGUUUAUAUUACGCCAAAGCUUAUUAAUUAACUAUAGUAACUCGAUAAAUUUACUUUGUGUAUGUGAAUACAUGGGAGAAGUCAUACGCAUUCAUUUGAAAUUUGUACUUAGAAUGAUAAGAAAUAUGCAUAGAGUUAAGAAAAUUUAACCAGCUGUGAUAUGUCAAGAUUUUGAAUCUUAAUAAAAUUGAGUUAAAACGUUGAGAAUACAAGUAAAAUCUCUGUUAUAAAGAUUCAUGUAUACUUUGACCAUCACCAGUUUAAUAUUAGACAUCUCAAAACUUAUUUGGAAAUAUCUAUUUCCAAUAAAUUGGUAUUUUCAUUAAGUGGUG
RNAcentral lists this long non-coding RNA (2347 nucleotides) under Citrus maxima (pomelo). RNAcentral describes it as "long non-coding RNA (CMAX_LNC001976)". The stretch from base 249 to 337 matches the Rfam family "mir-156 microRNA precursor family". The record is from RNAcentral. Lineage: Eukaryota; Viridiplantae; Streptophyta; Magnoliopsida; Sapindales; Rutaceae.